AACGAACGCUGGCGGCAUGCCUAACACAUGCAAGUCGAACGAGACCUUCGGGUCUAGUGGCGCACGGGUGCGUAACGCGUGGGAACCUGCCCUUAGGUUCGGAAUAACUCCCCGAAAGGGGUGCUGAUACCGGAUAAUGUCUUCGGACCAAAGAUUUAUCGCCUUUGGAUGGGCCCGCGUUGGAUUAGCUAGUUGGUAGGGUAAAAGCCUACCAAGGCGACGAUCCAUAGCUGGUCUGAGAGGAUGAUCAGCCACACUGGGACUGAGACACGGCCCAGACUCCUACGGGAGGCAGCAGUGGGGAAUAGUGGACAAUGGGCGAAAGCCUGAUCCAGCAAUGCCGCGUGAGUGAUGAAGGCCUUAGGGUUGUAAAGCUCUUUUACCCGGGAUGAUAAUGACAGUACCGGGAGAAUAAGCUCCGGCUAACUCCGUG
RNAcentral lists this ribosomal RNA (433 nucleotides) under uncultured bacterium. Its description in RNAcentral is "partial 16S ribosomal RNA". It matches the Rfam family "Bacterial small subunit ribosomal RNA", at positions 29 to 507 of the family's 1533-position model. The record is from RNAcentral.